GUCAAAACAAACUAAGAACAUCUGUUUUCUCUCUUUUUUCUUUUUUUUAUCCCCCUUCUCUUUCUCUCCUGUUUUCUUUCCUUCAUCCUCCCUCACUGCUUGUCAUCUCCGAGGAGAGGGAAAGGCAUCUCACAUGCUGUGGCCUUCCUUUACCCAGGACUUAAGUCCUUUAUCACCGAGCUCAGAGAUGGAGGGUGGCAAGAAGACCAGGAAGGCGCUGGCGGUGGCCAACAUUCCCCUGCUCUCUGCAGAACAGGAACGAUUCCAGGCUGUGGAUUUCUUUCUAAGGAGCUUGAGCAUGUGAGAUGCUGGGAGACCAGCCCAUGGAUUAGCAGAUACCCCAUCAAGCAAAGCAAGAAUUCAGAAGAAGGGAGAGUGGCCAAGGUGAGAGACCAGAGGGUGAGCCUGGCAGCAGGGUUAGGGAGACCCCAGGACACGGGCUGGAACCAGCUUGGCCGCCCAGUACCAGGACAACUGGACCCUGGGAGGUGGGAUCUGGAUCACUUAUGCCAAGUCUGCAAGACUGUUCCAAUCUUAAGCCUCUCCUAAUGUUCUUUUUCUGCCACCUUCCAUCAUAAUGAGUUAAAAAGGUCUCCUCCAAACCAGGCAUGAUAAAAGAGGAUACCCACCAAGUGGAGGGUACUUUGGGGAGAAAUAAGGCCAGAACAGAUAGACCCAGGGAGAAGCUGCCAUAGUCCUCAGGGGAGUGACGUAGUCCAGAGGAAAGAAGGAAACAGAUCUGGUCAGAGGGCAGCAGAUGGUCAGUGGGGCUUGGUGGUAUUUCUCACUAAGUUCUUAGUGGAAUGGAAAUUAGUGAGAAAUGUGUAUGAAGUCACACCACCUAAGUGGCAGAGCCACAUCUAACCCUGGACCGGGUUCAGAAGAUGAUGUUUCUGAGGCAGGUGUGGCAGUCCACUGUGAUGGCCCAGACAUAGAAAGCAGGAGCAGAGGAGCAGAAAUGUCACCUCACAUUUCACCCUUCUCCUGCUGCACUUUCCAGCCCAGGCCACUUUCCUGCUCUCACGCAUGACUGGCAUGUCUCCUGGGGCUGGCCCAAAGCCCUAGGGCUGGGCUUCUGGGCUCCUCCCUGACUGGUGCCCUCAUCUCUGGGACUCAGUUUCCUCUUCCACCCAGUGGGCUAAUGCCUCCUCCCACUCUGUUGGGGCUACAGUUGUGCAGUAAAGGGAGCCAGGAUUGGCCCAGCACCGAGGUGUCAGGCUCAGCAUCUGUGACCAUCUGUUCUGUGCCUUUAGGUGAUGUUGGGUUUUACCAAACUGAGGGCAUUACAGGAGCCAGCACAAAGGAGGACCUCCAUCAAUAAGUUUGUCACAUGAACACAUUAGUUAAUGGGUUUGAAUUCUUGCUUUGACAUUUAAUACCUGCAUGACUUCCAGCAAGGACACAGAGUCAUUCACUCCCUGGAUUUCGAGUGAAAAAUCACAGUGAAACAGACCCAGAUUCAGCAAAGGAGCUGGGCACUGAAGAACAGAAAUACUUUUGAAAAUACCAUCAGGGACGUGGGGUACUUGUGCAACCACACAGGGCCUUACACACUUGCUUUAAAUCUCUGUGAUCACCAUCUCGAGAUUCCUAAUAAUUUUAUCUUUAACUUGCAAGUGGCGUCCGCCAGGACAGCAGAGUACAGGCAUGAGAAUCCAGAAUAUGCGGGCUGUGUGCGCCCGAUGAUUCUUGCCGCCUCGCUUGGAUAGAGCAUCAGUGGUGUGGUGCCCGGUGGGCUCAGAUUCCCAGCCUAGGCUGGGGUGAGUUCAGCAGGACUCAAGGUGAGGGUAAGGCCAGAGUGUCACCUCUACAACUGAGUAAGGAGUGGAGGGUACUGACAGCCCUGAAAGGCCAGGCUUCCCAUUUUAACCAGGACAUUCAGCAAGUGCAGAAAGGAAUCAGGGGUUGUCUGAGACAUAUACCUGAUCAAGGAAGCUUACCAGAUCCUUCCUUUUGUGUCACUUCCCUAUAUUAGCCAACCACUCACCCUGGAAAUGGUGCAGGAGGAAAGGAAAAAAUAAAACAACUCAUGGUUCCCCUCCUUGCAGUCCCUCCUGGCUCACUGGUGAGCAGACCAGGAGAGUGGCGGGAGCGGACACGCAGCAGGAAGCCAAACGAAGGCUGUGAAGCUGGUUUGGUGCUGCUCCCACUCCUCCUGCAGGAAUGAAAUACGUUGGCCUGCGAGCGCCAUGAAAUACGAAUUGUGUAAUUCCCGUGACUCCGUAUACGAAUUAAAAGCUCCUAUAUUUGCAUUUAAAACUGGCAUUGCACAAUAUAAAGAUGAACGGUAAAGUUCAUGCUAAUAAUUUUAAAUUCUAAUUUUUCUUUACUUAGAGCCACAUUAAAUAGGAAAUAAAAUACACCACAGAAGAUGAGAGAGAGAGACUGCGGCAGAAAGGGAAAAGCUUUAUAUUUCUGUGUGUUUAAUGGCACUUUUUUUCCAGCUUUUUGAAUAAGGGCCCCACAUACUCGUUCUUCACGGAGCCCACAGCCUCUGCAGCCAGUCCGGCCGGGAGAAGCCAGGCGCCUCCAUGCUUCCCCUGGGCAGAGAGGCUGGGCUUCUGCUAGGUCACUGCAAACCCAUAGGAGGUGCCAACCAACACGCCCCGGCAGGAGAUGGGGUCCUGGGGACGCCUCUCACUCGGGGCUCUGAGGGUGGGGAGGAUCGGGGGCAGGAGCCCUGCAGAGGCCCAGGUGGGAAAGAAGCCGGGCCGAGGCAGGGGGAGGUGGGAGUCCACCCCGAGCACUGUCACAGGUGCCAGUCACUGUGCCCAGCACUUCCCGCACACGUCCCACGUCAUCCCACCGCGAUCCUGGGAGAUGAGGAUCGUCGUCCCCUUCCACAGAUGAGGACACUGAGGCCUGAGUGCUCAGGACCCGUCCCAGCUCCACGGCCAGUGAGGGCCAGAGCCGGCCGCGGAGCCAUCUCUCCACGAGCUGACUCAGGCAGGUCCUGUGACAGGCCUGGUGCCACCCACGGGGACAGAGACACCGUCAUGGCCCUCCAGCCCCCAGUGUCAUGGGGGACCUGAUGAGGAAGCACAGGCCCAGUGGGAGCCCGAGGGGGAGCCUGGGGGGGAGCAGCCGGUGGAUCCCACCUUGGGGAGGAGGAGGAGGAGAGCAUGGAAGAGGAGGGAUAAGGAGGAAGAGGAGGCUGCUGGAGGGAAUGAUCAUUACAAAUUUCCCAGGGGCCAGAGAGGUGAGGCUUGUUCGGAAACAUCAGGCCAAGCUGUCCCAGCUCGGGGAGAGUGACUCGUGGAGCGGAGGCUGACGGAAGGAAGGAGGCCCUGGCUCCUCCGGGAGGAGGAGGAUGAGAACUGAGACUCUGGAGCCAAACCCAGGCCCUGGAGCUCCAGGCAAGUCGCUGUUCCUUCCGGGCUGUUCCUUCAUUGGGUGGGGACAUGAUGAGGAACUGAGGCUCAGAGAAGUGGUGCAACUUGCCUGAGGCCACACAGCCAGGAAGCAGGGGAGCCCCUUUCUCUCCACCUCUGUGAAUAUCCAUAUCUCGGUGGUUUCCCCAACUGGACGCUGCUUAUUUGCACCAGAUGAGGUGGAUGUUUCCAGGGGCCCAGAACCUGCCUCACUCAGGCCCUCCUUGAUGUGCCCAGGAAGUGCUCUUGCUUCACAGGAAGUGCUCAUUGCUCAGUUGAACUGACCUGGGACCCAGCCCCAUCUGGAUCAGUGACAAAUCCACCACUGACAUCUGGAGCCCCAGCUCCUCUGAUGCUCAGAUCCCCAUGUCCCUCCUGCACAGGGCCAGGGAAAGGGCAGGGACUUGGGUCAGCCAGGCCUGGGCUCACACCCCUCCUGCCACCAAUGACCUGAGUGACCUGGGACAGGUCAGUUCCACCCUCAGGGCCCCAAACUCCCCUCCAGAAAAGUGGGAGCAGCAGUGUCCACCUGGGGGCAAAGUGAGGGCUGAUGAGUCCAGCCUGGGCGCAGCCCUGCACACAGUAGGCACUCAGUACCUGUGAGCCCGCCUCCCCUGCACGGGUGGGCAAACUGCGAGCUGCAUCCAGCUCAGAGCUGCUGAGUGAGUCCUUUAUCCUGCAGCCCUCCCCCUCUUCCUCCCCCUCCUCCCCCCAUGCCUCCCUCUACCUCCACCACCACCUCCCUCCCUCCCAGGCCAGUGACCCCUGCCCUCCUG
Long non-coding RNA from Canis lupus familiaris (dog), 4147 nucleotides. RefSeq lists it as uncharacterized. The transcript is spliced from 3 exons. The record is from RefSeq and is a predicted model, not a curated record. Lineage: Eukaryota; Metazoa; Chordata; Mammalia; Carnivora; Canidae.